Molecule: ribosomal RNA, 788 nt
Filed under: uncultured archaeon
Lineage: Archaea
Description: bacterial SSU rRNA
Rfam family: Archaeal small subunit ribosomal RNA
Source: RNAcentral
UAGCUAUGCGAGUCGCGAGGGUUCGGCCCUCGGCUGACGGCUCAGUAACACGNNGGANAAUCUGCCCUUAGGUGGAGGAUAACCUCGGGAAACUGCAUUAAUAAGACUCCAUAGAUCUAGGAGGCUGGAAUGCACUUAGAUCAAAAACUUCGGUGCCUAAGGAUGAGUCUGCGGACUAUCAGGUAGUAGUCAGGGUAAUGACCUGACCAGCCUAUGACGGAUACGGGUUGUGAGAGCAAUAACCCGGAGAUGAUAUCUGAGACACGAUAUCAGGCCCUACGGGGCGCAGCAGGCGCGAAAACUUCACACUGUGCGAAAGCACGAUGAGGGAAUCCCAAGUGCUGGCUCGUAAGAGUCAGCUGUUUUUCUGUCUAGAAAACAGAGAGAGUAAGAGCUGGGUAAGACGGGUGCCAGCCGCCGCGGUAAUACCUGCAGCUCAAGUGGUGGCCGCUAUUAUUGGGCCUAAAACGUUCGUAGCCGGUCUAGUAAAUGCCUGGGUAAAUCGUACGGCUUAACCGUACGAAUUCCGGGUAGACUGCUGGACUUGGGACUGGGAGAGGCUAGAGGUACUCCUGGGGUAGAGGUGAAAUUCUGUAAUCCUAGGGGGACGACCAGUGGCGAAGGCGUCUAGCUAGAACAGGUCUGACGGUGAGGAACGAAGCCCUGGGGCGCAAACGGGAUUAGAUACCCCGGUAGUCCAGGGUGUAAACGCUGCUUGCUUGAUGUUAGUCGGGCUCCGAGCCCGAUUAGUGUCGGAGAGAAGUUGUUAAGCAAGCUGCCUGGGGAGU